This 253-nucleotide ribosomal RNA is filed under the name uncultured bacterium. RNAcentral's name for it is "partial 16S ribosomal RNA". It matches the Rfam family "Bacterial small subunit ribosomal RNA", at positions 524 to 776 of the family's 1533-position model. The record is from RNAcentral.
UACAGAGGUCCCGAGCGUUGUUCGGAUUCACUGGGCGUAAAGGGUGCGUAGGUGGCCUGUUAAGUUUGAUGUGAAAGCUCAGGGCUUAACCCUGAAAUGGCAUUGAAUACUAGCGUGCUGGAGGUUUGGAGGGGGGACUGGAAUUCUCGGUGUAGCAGUGAAAUGCGUAGAUAUCGAGAGGAACACCAGUGGCGAAGGCGAGUCCCUGGACAACACCUGACACUGAGGCACGAAAGCCGGGGGAGCAAACAGG